CUUGUAUGCUGAGUCCUUAUACUUUCGUACCUAGCCUGCGCACGGAAACAAACCGUACGCUGAGAAUACUCUCAGUGGUAUUUCUAUAAACAAUAGCUUAAUCAACUUUAAAACAUGGUAAUUCAAACACAUUAUUGCUAUUAUUCAAUAUCAAUCAGUACUUUAAUAAUCUUUACUUUAUUUACCCUUAUUAACAUAACUCGGACACUAACGGAUACACGGAUCCAACCCACACUCCGGGAUAAGCACAUAGUGCUUCAUCGGAACAAAUCCGGAACUUUAACAUUAUAGUACACAAAGUACUUCAUCGGAACAAAUCCGGAACUUUAACAGUAGUCGACACAUAGUGUCUCAUCGACUCAAUGUCGGAAUAUCCCAAUACUUCCAAUUCCUACGACAUGUCAACUAUAUCCGACUAGCCCGACACUAUUAAUAGG
This 437-nucleotide long non-coding RNA is filed under the name Gossypium barbadense (sea-island cotton). RNAcentral's name for it is "long non-coding RNA (GBAR_LNC011837)". Lineage: Eukaryota; Viridiplantae; Streptophyta; Magnoliopsida; Malvales; Malvaceae. The record is from RNAcentral.